UACGGAGGGUGCAAGCGUUAUUCGGAAUCACUGGGCGUAAAGCGCGCGUAGGCGGCGUCGUAAGUCGGGUGUGAAAGCCCCGGGCUCAACCCCGGAAGUGCAUUCGAAACUGCAUUGCUUGAGUACGGGAGAGGAGAGCGGAAUUCCCGGUGUAGCGGUGAAAUGCGUAGAUAUCAGGAGGAACACCAGUGGCGAUGGCGGCUCCCUGGUCCAGUACUGACGCUCAGGUGCGAAGGCGUGGGGAGCAAACAGG
This 253-nucleotide ribosomal RNA is filed under the name uncultured bacterium. Its description in RNAcentral is "partial 16S ribosomal RNA". It matches the Rfam family "Bacterial small subunit ribosomal RNA", at positions 524 to 776 of the family's 1533-position model. The record is from RNAcentral.